This is a long non-coding RNA of Sphaerodactylus townsendi, 214 nucleotides long. RefSeq lists it as uncharacterized. The record is from RefSeq and is a predicted model, not a curated record. The transcript has 3 exons. NCBI's taxonomy places the organism in Eukaryota, Metazoa, Chordata, Lepidosauria, Squamata, Sphaerodactylidae.
AAUCAGCAAUUCUCCAGAGGACGAUGCCACGCAGAUCCCUAUGUCGCAGAUGAGUGCUCUCUUUGCAGACACCUCUGGUGACAUGAAUGAUGUCCUUGACCAUCCUAUUGCUGGGAGUUCUGGUGCAAAUGAAGGCUCCACACCCCUGCCCAUGAUGGAACUGACUUCACCAGAGCGGAGAAUGACUGCUGACAGGCGGCGUGUGCGACGUGUU